RNAcentral lists this long non-coding RNA (1080 nucleotides) under Zea mays. Its description in RNAcentral is "long non-coding RNA (ZMAY_LNC002319)". The record is from RNAcentral. Lineage: Eukaryota; Viridiplantae; Streptophyta; Magnoliopsida; Poales; Poaceae.
ACACCCCGUGCACCACGGUUCUGCCUCCGCACCCGCGACACCUUGCCUCCGCACGCGCUUCCGUCAGUCACGCAAGCUAUGCCUCGCCCGAGCACCAAAUCCGCAGCGCUCCCACCCUGUCUGCCCCAGAUCUGGAUCCUGUCCCAUCAUCGGCGCCUCCUCCCCCGCCCGCCCGAGACUCGGAUCCCACUGCUCCCCCGUCUCUCCUCACCUUCCUUCCCUCCCCCUCCCUGCUCGGUGCUCGCACACGCUGGCGCGGCUUGCCCCCACGUUGCGCUCCCACCACCACUCGCUGAUCGCCUCACGCACACACACCGACCCACCGGCCGACGAGGGGCAACCGCCGCAACACAAAUCCACACGCCUGCCGCCGCCGCAUAGGACUCGAUCCCGACGGCGACGAGGGCGCGGUGGCACUCCUGGCACUUGAACCGCGACACAGAAGGAUACACGGACGAGAGAUCUGCGGCGCACGGGCUGCUGCCAGCGGAUCGUCGUCGUCGGCGGCCGGCGAGAGGUGGGGGUGGUAGGAUCGUGGAGGAGGACUGGAGGUGGAGGAGACAGAGUGUCCCCGCAGGCACGCAGCACGCCAGCACUGCAGCAACGAGAAGCGGCGCAGGGAGCGUCGUCGGCCGGCAAGAGGUGGGGGAGGCGGGAUCGUGGAUGAGGACUGGAGGUGGAGGAGACGGAGUGUCCCCGCAGGCACGCCAGCACUGCAGCAGCGAGAAGCAGCGCAUGGAGCGUCGUCGGCCAGCGAGAGGUGGGGGAGGCUGGAUCGUGGAGGAGGACUGGAGGUGGAGGAGACGGAGUGUCCCCGCAGGCACGCCACACUACAGCAGCGAGAAGCAAUGGUUUUGAAGUGUACUGUAUGUGUCUACUAUACUGAUUGUUACAUGUUCUUCCAUGUACCUGAAGACUUCGUUCUUCUUUCCUGCCUCGUAAAUAUUGCACUGGAGUAGUGGUUGUGGUGCCCUGUGGCAAAGAGCCACAGUUCUUUGUACCUAGGUUAAUAAUGAAAUUUCAUUGUGAUAUAGUAAAUGGCAGUAAAGUUCAGUUUCAGUCUCCAGUGGAAAAUUUUUG